AUUGAACGCUGGCGGCAGGCCUAACACAUGCAAGUCGAACGGUAACAGGGAUCAGCUUGCUGAUUCGCUGACGAGUGGCGGACGGGUGGGUAAUGUCUGGGAAACUGCCUGAUGGAGGGGGAUAACUACUGGAAACGGUAGCUAAUACCGCAUAACGUCGCAAGACCAAAGAGGGGGACCUUCGGGCCUCUUGCCAUCGGAUGUGCCCAGAUGGGAUUAGCUAGUAGGUGGGGUAACGGCUCACCUAGGCGACGAUCCCUAGCUGGUCUGAGAGGAUGACCAGCCACACUGGAACUGAGACACGGUCCAGACCCCUACGGGAGGCAGCAGUGGGGAAUAUUGCACAAUGGGCGCAAGCCUGAUGCAGCCAUGCCGCGUGUAUGAAGAAGGCCUUCGGGUUGUAAAGUACUUUCAGCGGGGAGGAAGGGAGUAAAGUUAAUACCUUUGCUCAUUGACGUUACCCGCAGAAGAAGCACCGGCUAACUCCGUG
This 490-nucleotide ribosomal RNA is filed under the name uncultured bacterium. Its description in RNAcentral is "partial 16S ribosomal RNA". It matches the Rfam family "Bacterial small subunit ribosomal RNA", at positions 30 to 507 of the family's 1533-position model. The record is from RNAcentral.